This 1343-nucleotide ribosomal RNA is filed under the name uncultured bacterium. RNAcentral describes it as "16S ribosomal RNA". It matches the Rfam family "Bacterial small subunit ribosomal RNA", at positions 28 to 1378 of the family's 1533-position model. The record is from RNAcentral.
GACGAACGCUGGCGGCGUGCUUAACACAUGCAAGUCGAACGGAAAGGCCCUGCUUUUGUGGGGUGCUCGAGUGGCGAACGGGUGAGUAACACGUGAGUAACCUGCCCUUGACUUUGGGAUAACUUCAGGAAACUGGGGCUAAUACCGGAUAGGAGCUCCUGCUGCAUGGUGGGGGUUGGAAAGUUUCGGCGGUUGGGGAUGGACUCGCGGCUUAUCAGCUUGUUGGUGGGGUAGUGGCUUACCAAGGCUUUGACGGGUAGCAGGCCUGAGAGGGUGACCGGCCACAUUGGGACUGAGAUACGGCCCAGACUCCUACGGGAGGCAGCAGUGGGGAAUAUUGCACAAUGGGCGGAAGCCUGAUGCAGCAACGCCGCGUGCGGGAUGACGGCCUUCGGGUUGUAAACCGCUUUCGCCUGUGACGAAGCGUGAGUGACGGUAAUGGGUAAAGAAGCACCGGCUAACUACGUGCCAGCAGCCGCGGUGAUACGUAGGGUGCGAGCGUUGUCCGGAUUUAUUGGGCGUAAAGGGCUCGUAGGUGGUUGAUCGCGUCGGAAGUGUAAUCUUGGGGCUUAACCCUGAGCGUGCUUUCGAUACGGGUUGACUUGAGGAAGGUAGGGGAGAAUGGAAUUCCUGGUGGAGCGGUGGAAUGCGCAGAUAUCAGGAGGAACACCAGUGGCGAAGGCGGUUCUCUGGGCCUUUCCUGACGCUGAGGAGCGAAAGCGUGGGGAGCGAACAGGCUUAGAUACCCUGGUAGUCCAUGCUGUAAACGGUGGGUACUAGGUGUGGGGUCCAUUCCACGGGUUCCGUGCCGUAGCUAACGCUUUAAGUACCCCGCCUGGGGAGUACGGCCGCAAGGCUAAAACUCAAAGGAAUUGACGGGGCCCCGCACAAGCGGCGGAGCAUGCGGAUUAAUUCGAUGCAACGCGUAGAACCUUACCUGGGUUUGACAUGGAUCGGGAGUGCUCAGAGAUGGGUGUGCCUCUUUUGGGGUCGGUUCACAGGUGGUGCAUGGCUGUCGUCAGCUCGUGUCGUGAGAUGUUGGGUUAAGUCCCGCAACGAGCGCAACCCUUGUUCACUGUUGCCAGCACGUUAUGGUGGGGACUCAGUGGAGACCGCCGGGGUCAACUCGGAGGAAGGUGGGGAUGACGUCAAGUCAUCAUGCCCCUUAUGUCCAGGGCUUCACGCAUGCUACAAUGGCUGGUACAGAGAGUGGCGAGCCUGUGAGGGUGAGCGAAUCUCGGAAAGCCGGUCUCAGUUCGGAUUGGGGUCUGCAACUCGACCUCAUGAAGUCGGAGUCGCUAGUAAUCGCAGAUCAGCAACGCUGCGGUGAAUACGUUCCCGGG